RNAcentral lists this long non-coding RNA (878 nucleotides) under Heterocephalus glaber (naked mole-rat). Its description in RNAcentral is "lncRNA (ENSHGLG00000047811.1)". The record is from RNAcentral. Lineage: Eukaryota; Metazoa; Chordata; Mammalia; Rodentia; Bathyergidae.
GGCGGGCGUCCCUUGCUGGGGCUCCGCGCCCGGCUCGACAGAGCGGGCGUGGGGCGGGCGCCGAGGGCACUGGGGGCCGAGGCCGAGUCCCCGCCCGCUGUCCCCUCGCCCUCCUUCCGAGAAGUUUGCCGUUCGACCUUGCAGAUGGAAACGACGGCGUUCGGACGAGGGCGUCGCCCGCCCAGGCUCCCGGGAGCGAGGGCAUCGGGGCUGCCCGGAAUCGGAUUCCUCGGCGGAUUACGCGGCCCAGUCGGCACGCGAGGCGGGCCCCGGGCGACCAGGAAGCCCCCGGCGCGCACGAAAGCAGCGAGGGCGGAGGUUGGGGGGCUGGGGGCGGGGCGGCCGCGUUGCGUGACCUGCAAGCCGGCGGCCGCACGCACUUCGUGCUCCGGGCGGCCCUCGCCCCGCGGGCGGCGCAGGUGCCGCUGGAGGCCGGCGCCCGGCUGCCACUUUACAGCCCCGGCGGGGAGGGCAGUCACGCUAUAUUUCAGGGACUGGGACGGAGUUCGCGGAAUCUCCUUGUUAUCGGAACGUGGGUAGCGUUGGGUAAUAACCGCUCGGACAGGAUGUAGGAAGCGCAGUGGGAACAGAGCUGUCCCGUCUAAUGGGCAGUAAUGGAGUGGAGAAAUAGAAAGAAGGAGAAAGGUGAAAAAUGUGGAAAGAGAUAAAGGGAAAGACUAAGAUCAACAGAGAACCAAGAAAAAAUUUUUUAAAAAAAAUACAGGGUUUUGAUCAGUGAUGGACCACUGUUGAUCUAGGCAUGCUGGUAUGUCUGCAAUCCCAGCGACUUCAGAGGCCUACACAGGGAAGAUCGAAGGUUUGAAGCCAGCCUGAGCAAUUGAGCAAGAACCAGUCUCAAAUUAAAAUCAAAAGGGGUG